This 1122-nucleotide ribosomal RNA is filed under the name uncultured organism. RNAcentral's name for it is "bacterial SSU rRNA". It matches the Rfam family "Bacterial small subunit ribosomal RNA", at positions 125 to 1199 of the family's 1533-position model. The record is from RNAcentral.
CGUGCCUCGAGCACGAGGACAGCCGGGGGAAACUCCGGUUAAUACUCGAUAAGACCACAGCACCGCAGGGUGCAGGGGUCAAAGGGUGGGGACCUUCGGGCCUGCCGGCUCGAGAGCGGCCCAUGUCCUAUCAGCUUGUUGGUGGGGUAACGGCCUACCAAGGCUACGACGGGUACCGGGACUGAGAGGUUGACCCGGCGCAUCGGGACUGAGACACUGCCCGGACUCCUACGGGAGGCUGCAGUAACGAAUAUUGGGCAAUGGGCGAAAGCCUGACCCAGCGACGCCGCGUGUGGGAAGAAUGCCUUCGGGUUGUAAACCACUGUCAGGGAUUACCAACCAACCGGUGUGAAAUAGCGCCGGGAGUUGAGGAGUCCCAGAGGAAGUCACGGCUAACUUCGUGCCAGCAGCCGCGGUAAUACGAAGGUGGCUAGCGUUGUUCGGAAUCACUGGGCUUAAAGAGCACGUAGGCGGAUGAUCAAGCGUCUUGUGAAAGCCCUCGGCUUCAACCGGGGAAUUGCUUGGCGAACUGAUCAUCUUGAGGGCAGGUAGGGGGCGAGUGGAACUUCUUGGUGGAGCCGGUGGAAUGCUUAGAUAUCCAAGAGGAACGCCAAGAGGCGAAAGCCGACUCCGCUGGGCCCUGACCUGACGCCUGAGGUGACGAAAGCAAGGGAAGCGAACGGGAUUAAGAUACCCCUGGAAGUCCUGGCCCUAAACGAUGUCCCCUAGGGUCGGUGAGGGUCUAAUGCUUUGCUUGCCGAAACCAAAAGCGUUUAAGUGGACCGCCUGGGGAGUACGUUCCAUAGGCUAAAUCUCAAAGGAUUUGACGGGGGCUCACACAAGCUGGUGGAGCAUGUUGCUUAAUUCGAGGCAUCGCGAAGAACCUUAUCCUGGGCUUGACAUACACGGAUGCCCUCCUGGAAACAGGUCAGUUUGACCUUCGGGGUGAAACGUACACAGGUGCUGCAUGCCUGUCGUCAGCUCGUUUCGUGAAAUGUUGGGUUAAGUCCCGUAACGAGCGAAACCCUGGUCGCUAGUUGCCAGCGCGUAAUGGCGGUGACUCUAGCGAGACUGCCGGUGUUAAACCGGAGGAAGGUGGGGAUGACGUCAAGUCCUCAUGGC